RNAcentral lists this long non-coding RNA (1955 nucleotides) under Amborella trichopoda. Its description in RNAcentral is "long non-coding RNA (ATRI_LNC001127)". Lineage: Eukaryota; Viridiplantae; Streptophyta; Magnoliopsida; Amborellales; Amborellaceae. The record is from RNAcentral.
UGGAAAUUGUGUAUAGAAUGAAGGGGGUCCCCCUCCUUAUAGAGGCCUCAAUCCCGUUUUAGGUAAUGCCUAUCCAAUUAUGACUCAUCAUGACCAAUAGGAUUUUAGAAAAUCUAUGAGAUGAGAGAUGAUUAAAUCCAACUCAUCCAUCCCAUUAGAAGAAUUGGCAAUGUAGAAUUUCAGGCUCUAAAUUCAAAUAAAAAAAAUCAGUUUUUUAUUAAUUGAUGGAAAUUCUGCUUACAGGUGUCACAAAUGGUAUAGAAUAGAUCUUUCUAUGGUCUACGAUCUUAAUAACGUACAGCCAAAAUGAAAUUUAUUUAAACUGAAUACAAACUUAGCAAUUCUAUGAAAUAAAUAAAACAAGAACAACGGUAAAAAAAUAUUAAAUAAAUAUGGGAAGACUAAUUGACAUUUGCCAAGGGUUGGCCCCCUUAAGGCAUAGCACAUCCCACAUCCAAUCACCUCCAACGAUGCACUUUGAUCCUGAAACCUACUGAAUCCACCGAUAUGAAAUGAGAAGCACUUCAAGGACUCCCUUUCUUAAACUUAUAUGGCAAGAGAGUCAAGGUUAUAAUUAGGGUUUCACAAAAAACCUCGUUUUUAACCUUGCGACAUAUGCCAUGAUUAGCACCUCACCUAAAACUAAAGCUAAGAGCAAGUGUGCCCCCUCUUGUUCUCUCUUCUUUAUGCUGGUGUACCUCCCUAGGCAAUUAGGGAGCAUGGCGUGCCCCUUUUAAGAGAGAGAGAGAGAGAGAGAUAGAGAGAGCAUGAGAGACAGAGAAUGACAUGGAGAGGAAAGAGAGAGGGGAGAGAUUUGUUGCGUUGAAUGACGGGGAGAUCCCCCUUAUUUAUCCUCUAGGGCUUAGGGAGUUCCAGUGAGACUAGGAGUUCAACAUUAUCUAGGAUUUUUAGGAGAUAUGUGAGGUGAAAGAAGAUUUAAUCCAUGCCAUUCAUCUCCAAGAUCAGCCAUCAUGAUCGCGAGUGAAUCUUUAAGAACCUUAUCUCUUGAGAUUUGACCUAUACCCACUUCUAAAUAAUCUAGGUUUUGUCUCAUCGUAAUCUUUAUCUUCUAGAAACAUUCUAUAGAAUCUAGAGUAAUUAGAUUAUUCUAGAUUUCCUAUUAUCACAUAUGGAUAAUUAAAAAAUAAAAUAAUGAUCAAAAUCUAGAUCCCCUUAAAUCUUUCACGAAAAUUAUUUCGAAAUAUUUUCAACUAACAAAAUCUUUUUAUAGAAUAUUAUAUCACAAAUAAAUCCCAUUUAAAUAGGAAAUAUUUGGGAAUCCCACCAAGAGGGGCGUGUGGCCCACGUGGGCUCCACAUGAAACCUAGUGGGCCGCACAAGUGAGGGGCACGUGGUCCAACCACAUAAAACUAUGAGUACUUAGUGAACAAAUUGUUGAUCAUAUGUGUGGACGCUCAAGUUUGAAGUUUGUGUUUUUUUGUAGGGAAGUUAACUAACCUUAAAUAACAAGUGAGUUACAUCAAUACCGUGAGGUCCAUAGAGUAUGGACCUCGGUAAAAAUGUGGUCCCUGAGAGGAGGACCACAAAGAAACCUGCCCUACGAAAAUAAGAAGAAGGAUUAGUGGAGAUGGAAGUGAGUAGGGCUUAUGGGAAUGCCCAAUUACAAUGGCGGACUAAAAAGGAUUGCAUGGUAGGGGCUUAUAAUUUUGCCCAUUUACACACUACUUCCAUUUAGUUGUGUUGCCGAGCUGCUUCUUUAGCGAGUGCGUCUGCCAUUGCUUCUUUAGCUGCUCAAGUUUGAAGUUCGUUAAAAGCAUUGUAAACAUAUUUUUAAUUAUUUGGUUGGCGAUCAGUCUUAGUUGCAUUCUACCUGGAGGGAUAUUCUUGUCCUUUCUAGACUCGAAUGUAGGGUGAUUUACCCCUCGUAUUUUAUUAAGGAGAAUCAAUUAUUCUUUCAGUUCUUUCAUUUCAGACACUUAAAGUAAAUUUACAAC